This 1530-nucleotide ribosomal RNA is filed under the name Akkermansia muciniphila. RNAcentral describes it as "bacterial SSU rRNA". It matches the Rfam family "Bacterial small subunit ribosomal RNA". Lineage: Bacteria; Pseudomonadati; Verrucomicrobiota; Verrucomicrobiia; Verrucomicrobiales; Akkermansiaceae. RNAcentral also lists the same sequence under 1 other name. The record is from RNAcentral.
AGAGUUUGAUUCUGGCUCAGAUUGAACGCUGGCGGCGUGCCUUACACAUGCAAGUCGAACGUGAAAGUACUUUCGGGUACGAGUAAAGUGGCGCACGGGUGAGUAACGCGUGGAUAAUCUACCAAGAAGUUUGGGAUAACAGCUGGAAACGGCUGCUAAUACCGAAUACGCUGCAUAUCUAUCUUAUGUGGGAAAGAUGGCCUCUGCAUAUGCUGUUGCUUUUUGAUGAGUCCGCGUACCAUUAGCUGGUUGGUGGGGUAAAGGCCUACCAAGGCGACGAUGGUUAACUGGUCUGAGAGGAUGAUCAGUCACACUGGAACUGGAACACGGUCCAGACUCCUACGGGAGGCAGCAGUGGGGAAUAUUGCGCAAUGGGCGAAAGCCUGACGCAGCGACGCCGCGUGAGGGAUGAAGGUCUUCGGAUCGUAAACCUCUGUCAGCAGGGAAGAACGGUCACUGUGCUAAUCAGCAGUGAAUUGACGGUACCUGCAAAGGAAGCACCGGCUAACUCCGUGCCAGCAGCCGCGGUAAUACGGAGGGUGCGAGCGUUAAUCGGAAUUACUGGGCGUAAAGCGCUCGUAGGUAGUAUGGCAAGUCAAGGGUGAAAUCCCCGCGCUCAACGUGGGAACUGCCUUUGAAACUGCUACACUUGAGUGUGUGAGAGGAUAGUGGAAUUCCAGGUGUAGGAGUGAAAUCCGUAGAUAUCUGGAGGAACAUCAGUGGCGAAGGCGACUAUCUGGCACAUAACUGACACUGAGGAGCGAAAGCGUGGGUAGCAAACAGGAUUAGAUACCCUGGUAGUCCACGCUGUAAACGAUGGAUACUAGGUGUGCGGGGACUGACCCCCUGCGUGCCGCAGCUAACGCAAUAAGUAUCCCACCUGGGGAGUACGAUCGCAAGGUUGAAACUCAAAGGAAUUGACGGGGGCCCGCACAAGCGGUGGAGUAUGUGGUUUAAUUCGAUGCAACGCGAAGAACCUUACCCAGGCUUGACAUCUAGGGAACCGGAUAGAGAUAUUCGGGUGCUCUUCGGAGAACCCUAAGACAGGUGCUGCAUGGCUGUCGUCAGCUCGUGCCGUGAGGUGUUGGGUUAAGUCCCGCAACGAGCGCAACCCCUGUCCUUAGUUGCCAGCACAUGAAGGUGGGCACUCUAGGGAGACCGCUUCGGUUAACGGAGAGGAAGGUGGGGACGACGUCAAGUCAUCAUGGCCCUUACGCCUGGGGCUACACACGUACUACAAUGGUGCAUACAAAGGGUUGCGAAACCGCGAGGUCAAGCUAAUCCCAACAAAUGCAUCUCAGUUCGGAUUGGAGUCUGCAACUCGACUCCAUGAAGUCGGAAUCGCUAGUAAUUCUGGAUCAGCAUGCCAGGGUGAAUGCGUUCCCGGGCCUUGUACACACCGCCCGUCACACCACGAAAGUUGGUUUUACCCGAAGCCGACGAGCUAACUUUUCAGAGGCAGUCGUCUACGGUAGGCCCGAUGAUUGGGGUGAAGUCGUAACAAGGUAGCCGUAGGGGAACCUGCGGCUG